Molecule: long non-coding RNA, 887 nt
Organism: Acanthochromis polyacanthus (spiny chromis)
Lineage: Eukaryota; Metazoa; Chordata; Actinopteri; Pomacentridae
Exons: 3
Source: RefSeq, a predicted model, not a curated record
CUACUCAGAGUCACCGGGGAAGUUCGAACAGACCUUCAGCUUUGAGCUGCUGGGGACCCAGAGGCGCUACCAGCUCACCUGCAGAGGAGUUUGCACCUAUCCUUCCAUCUGCAAGGACUACACGACACUUUUUGCCCUCUGUAAGAAAGUGUCACACGUGAAAGAAGGGCUUCAGAAGACGUAUGUAAUCAAACCUGGAUACUUCAAAUUUGGACCUUUACUCUGUAGCAAGACCAGAGACAGGUGAGUAUGAUGGCUGUGAAUGGUUUAAUGUAGCUUUAUCAGUCUUUCUAUAUACAGAUUUAUUUGUGUCUGUGCAGAUACAAAGACAAUAGGUACCCAGAGAACAUGGAGAAGCUGGUGAUUCAUAACAACACGGGUCUGGAGGCUGAAGUCCAGUUCUGUUUCCAGCAUGACACUCAGGCCGCCACAUUUCUGCUGGACCCCUCGAACGUGACCCUGAAGCCUGAUCAGAAACAGGUACAGCAUCACACACAAUGCUGUCUGAUGAGCUAAUACAGCUGCUUGUGCUGAUAUCAGUACUUGUGAAUGUUCCUCCACCCCUCUAGGAGUUCACAGUGUGGGCCUACCCAACAAAAGUGGGACAAAUAAAGGACAGCGUAGUUUGUCAUAUCAAGGACAAUCCGGAGCUUGUGGUCAUCGAGCUCUCCUGCUGGGGCGUCCGACCAGAGCUGGAGCUGGAAAAAAAGCACUUGCAUUUUGAUCGGAUUUUGCUGUACAGGACUGACAGGCGUAGUGUGACGAUGCAUAAUAAGACAGCUCUGCCAGUAUCCUGGAGGCUGCAGGGUGUGGAGGAGUUAGGAGACGAGUUCACUGUGCCCCAGGAUCACGGCAUCAUCGCACCCAACUCCUCUUUUCCUUUGAGU